CCCUGAUCUUCCUAUCUGCAAAAUAGGUAUAAUAAUAUCUAUCUUGGAAGAGUUUUAUGAGGAAAAAAAGAAAAGAACAAAAGGCUCUAUAGUUACCUCAGAUGUAGUAGACAUUUCAUGUAUUAUUGUCACUGAUGUUUUAGCUUUUGACUUCUGGAAUUUUUCUCCUCUAUCUCUUUCCCUUCUUUAAAUAACAACAGUUGAACUGGAAGAUUUGAGAAGCUUUUUCCAGUUUCUAAAUUCUGGGGAAACAAAGUUUAAACACCAUGCACUGGAUUCUAAUGUUAUAUGCUGUCUCAAUGGGUUAAAAGGAUCCAGAAUUUUUUAAGUCAAAUUGUUUUGUUUUGUUUUUUUAAACAUUUCUCUCCCAUCUUAUAAAUGCUUUAUUUAUUUUCUUCUUUUCCUUUACCGUGUAUAUGUUUUAUAAUUUGAUGACAUUGUACUUAUCAAUUCUUGGUUUUAUUUCUUAAGCUUUAGGAGUCUUAUUAAGGAAGUUGAUGUCAUUGCUGAUAUGUUGAAGUCUUUUUUUUUUAAGAGAGAGAGAGAGAGAGAGAAUUUCUUCAAUAUU
Molecule: long non-coding RNA, 568 nt
Filed under: Marmota monax (woodchuck)
Lineage: Eukaryota; Metazoa; Chordata; Mammalia; Rodentia; Sciuridae
Source: RNAcentral